This 464-nucleotide ribosomal RNA is filed under the name uncultured bacterium. RNAcentral describes it as "bacterial SSU rRNA". It matches the Rfam family "Bacterial small subunit ribosomal RNA", at positions 338 to 795 of the family's 1533-position model. The record is from RNAcentral.
CCUACGGGGCGCAGCAGUGGGGAAUAUUGCACAAUGGGCGCAAGCCUGAUGCAGCCAUGCCGCGUGUAUGAAGAAGGCCUUCGGGUUGUAAAGUACUUCCAGCGGGGAGGAAGGCGAUAAGGUUAAUAACCUUGUCGAUUGACGUUACCCGCAGAAGAAGCACCGGCUAACUCCGUGCCAGCAGCCGCGGUAAUACGGAGGGUGCAAGCGUUAAUCGGAAUUACUGGGCGUAAAGCGCACGCAGGCGGUCUGUCAAGUCGGAUGUGAAAUCCCCGGGCUCAACCUGGGACUGCAUUCGAAACUGGCAGGCUAGAGUCUUGUAGAGGGGGGUAGAAUUCCAGGUGUAGCGGUGAAAUGCGUAGAGAUCUGGAGGAAUACCGGUGGCGAAGGCGGCCCCCUGGACAAAGACUGACGCUCAGGUGCGAAAGCGUGGGGAGCAAACGGGAUUAGAUACCCUGGUAGUC